Molecule: long non-coding RNA, 682 nt
Organism: Oryctolagus cuniculus (rabbit)
Lineage: Eukaryota; Metazoa; Chordata; Mammalia; Lagomorpha; Leporidae
Source: RefSeq, a predicted model, not a curated record
GUGUCCUGCUCUCUUUGGCUAACCGUGGACUCCUGGAGUUUCGGUCUCCCACGCAGGGCGCGGAUGGAGGGACAGGAAGUGAGUUGCUGGGUGCGCGUGCGCUCUGAGGAUCCGGACGAUGCUGGCCAGGCCCCGGCGGGCGCACAGUGGCCCCAGGGGCAGCUGGUUCUCCAGGCCUUGGCGGGCUCAGGUUCUGGGUUGGCUUCCGUGGUAACUGAGUCCACCUCCCCAGCUCUGGCGCCAUCCUUAAAGGCGGAGAGAAAGCAGGCAGGCUGGCGUCAGAUUGCACAGCCCCGCCGGAGGACCCUGGCUGGCUGCGUUCAGGGACUGUCUUCUUAACGGCUGGGGGCCGGUGCUGUGGUGUAGUGGGUAAAGUCGCCGUCUGCAGUGCCAGCAUCCCAUAUGAGCGCCAGUUCAAGUCCCAGCUGCUCCACUUCCGAUCCAGCUCUCUGCUGUGGCCUGGGAAAGCAGUAGAAGAUAGCCCAAGUCCUUGGGUCCCUGCACCCACAUGGGAGACCCAGAAGAAGCUCCUGGUUCCUGGCUUCGGAUCGUCUCAGCUCCAGGCCAUUGUGGCCAAUUGGGGAGUGAACCAGUGGAUGGAAGAUUCUCUCUCUCUCUCUCUCUCUGCCUCUGCCUCUCUGUAACUCUGCCUUUAAAAUAAAUAAAUAAAUCUUUUAACAAA